GUGCUUGGGUAGCUCAGUUGGUAGAGCACUUGCCCGUGAAAGGCAAAGGUCCCGAGUUCGAGUCUCGGUCCACACA
Molecule: transfer RNA, 76 nt
Filed under: Schistocerca americana (American grasshopper)
Lineage: Eukaryota; Metazoa; Arthropoda; Insecta; Orthoptera; Acrididae
Description: tRNA-Ser
Rfam family: tRNA
About the family: Transfer RNA (tRNA) molecules are approximately 80 nucleotides in length.
Source: RNAcentral